Zonotrichia albicollis (white-throated sparrow) is the source of this 7338-nucleotide non-coding RNA. Lineage: Eukaryota; Metazoa; Chordata; Aves; Passeriformes; Passerellidae. The record is from RefSeq and is a predicted model, not a curated record.
CAGCUACUCUGCUUGCACAGUGAUGUGUGGGAGCUUAAAGAUGGACCUAGCAGAUAGCACUGGCUGGAAUCCAGAUGGAAGUGAGCAUACCCUACUUUGAUCUUUCUGAUGCUGUAAUUGAAUAUUUCUAGAAGACUGCAGUUGCAUCAUAUGUAGCCUGGAAGAAUGACAAUAAAGUACAAUGAACAUUUGAGAGACAUCUUACGGGAAGUUUUCUCAGGUGAAGACUGCAACCAUCCCUUCACCCAAGGAACAUCAAAAUUGCAACAAUCAAGUCUCAUGGCUGGAUCCAGGGGUGGUGACUAUACGCCUUUCUGCUCUUUUUUUGUUUCUUUUAUCUUAUGCCUUUUCUUAAAUGCUAUUUUUAUGCUUUUAUAUUGCUACUACUAGCAAAACCAGCUACGUUUUGAAAUUUGCCAAGAACCUUAUUCUACCUUAACAUUCUAAAGUUUGCAAGUAAAUGUUUGUUAUUGAACCUCCUGAGAGUUGUUGGUUCUCCUGCAGUCCACCCAGAGUAAAUAAAGCUACCUAAACCCGCCCAAAGGAUCAGAGCAAACAAGUUGGCAGCACUGUGCGGUCUCUUUCUGUUCAUCCACUCAAGAGGUGUGGGAAGAGAGGUUGCCAGUGAAGACUGAGGGGAAAACUUGCAGAGUACCUCAGCCUUCUCCUUGUCUGUUGUUACCAGUUUGCCAGCGUGGCUCAUCAGGCCUGUGCCCAAGAUCUCCAGCUACAUCCACCUUGUGGCAUCCUGAAAUAACCUGGAGGUCAGGAACUCAGUGCACAACAUAAUUCAGUAAAGAGACUGAAGAACUUCUAGCAAAAGUGUUCAAGCUAUGGGUAUAAGAAAAAGCAUCACUGAUUUUUCUGGUAACCAGCUACUCAAUGGAAAAAUGAAGAGAAGCAGCUUUCCUGGCUGAGUACAGAGAAUUUGGCAUUUGGAGUUUGGCACCUGUAAUCAGUCAAAGCCUGGCAGGGAUAGAACUGCCUGAAUGAGUCCUAGGCAUAGAACAGUGGGUCAGAAUGAGGAACUGCAGAACAUGGGGUUGUGGCACUGUCUCUUUUAGCUUCAGCCUGCCCUCAACCUCUCUUGUGAUGACAGUGGAAGCAUGUGUGAGAACAAUUAUAGGAGUGAAUAUCUGGACAUUCUGCACCCAGGCUCUGCCUCAAACCAGGCAGCAGAAGUAUAGAACACACAUCUAAAAACUGCUUAUACAAAGGUCAGAACAAAUAACUUGCUUGUGUGAAUUUUGAGGCUAAAAAGCAGCCCAGUUGCUAAAAAAAUUAGAGGGGCACAGCAGCCUCCGGUGUGGUUCCCUGCCACAUUUAUUUUUAUUGCAAUGUGUAAAACAGAUUACUUGGUAUGAGGAGUUCAAAGUUGUUUUGUGAGCUCUGUGCAUGUUUUGCAUGUCAACUACAUUAUAGAGACAUUAAGGAGUCCAUAAAAUAUCCAUAGACCAAGAUACUCUAUAUAAGAGUUUAUGUUAUGAUGUGCUCUCCCUAAUUCAGCAGAUUUUAAAACUAUUUGAUGUGGUAUGAAAAUCAAAUCCAUGCACACAAAGGAAGCAACAAACCAAUGUGUGUUUCCGAAAUGAAAUUAGCAUAAAAUUACAGUCUUGUCACAAAAAUCUACUGAAGCUUUCGUCUCCUGGACCCAGCUGCUUGAGUCACUUCACUGAUGAAGAAAAGAGAUAAUGCCCAAGAGGGAUAUUGUCCCUUCAUCUUCUGAUGUUGGGAGAGAAAGUAACAAGGAAAACUCCUCCAACAUGUCAGCAAGACUGCUGGGCCAGGAUAGUGGCAAAACUGAGUUUGAGAUGCUCUAUGAAAUCUGAUGAAAUUUAGCAGCUUUACAGGUCAAGGAUUUUACCCUUCAACAGCACUGGGAUUGUUCUAAGUUUUCAUGUUGGGAAGCUCCCAAUAGCUGGGAGCUGGGAGCUGAGAGCUGGGAACUGGGAACUGGGGGCUGGGAGCAACACAGAGAUAUCUCCAAACAUAUGCACAUUUUCAUUAGGUUCCUCCUGAUUUAGGAAUUCAUCUGUGCGCCUCUCCUGCUUUGAGGACAGCACAAGUGCAAACAGCGAAAUCAGAAAAUUAACCUUCAGGAGGCAGGAGCUCUCUGGUGAACAGAGUAGAGGUUAAUAACCUUGCUCUGUGAUGCACUUCUUUUGAGAGCUCUGCUCUAGCAGCUUGCUCCUGCAGUGCACAGCGAAGGCAGAAAUUAGGAGGGGUGCCAGGCAGUAAUGGACUGAGCCAUUUGCGUGUCUGUUUUUCCAUUCAGCAGACCCUGAGAGCAGGGCUCAUCAGCAGAGCAGACCAGGAAAUGUUGCAUCAUUGAGAUUAUUGAACUCAUUCUCUACCUAAAAUUACCAGAUUGUCUGAUACAUGCUGCUGAGUAAAAAUUCAAGUAAUAACUGCCUAUGGAUGUAAGUAUACAGAAAGAGAUACGAUUUUUGUUAGAUUUGAUCAAUGGUUUUGGACCAAAUAAAUUUGGUCCAAAUGAAUUUAUUUGAAAUAUCUGGUAUCUGAAAUAGUCCACAAUUAGAGGAGAUACUUGGUUCCCAAAUAUAUUCUGAAAAUAUUCAACUGUCCUUUCCUCCUGAGAAUUUAACUAAUUAAUUUACCUGUUUGCAUCUGAUGCUCCACAGGUACUCAGGGUCUCCACCUGUAAAGAAGGCAGCACUCUCUCCACUCAGUUUAGUUUCUUCAACUGUUAAAACAUUUUCAAAAUCUUCAUGCACGGUAUCUUAUUUGUAAACAGCUGUGCUCCUGAAAGCCCUGUGGUUGUGUCAGAGGUGGAUACAUGCAACCGCUCUAUGGUGACACACACACAUGAGACAGGGACCCCCAGUCCACAAUUUAUUCAGUACUGCCCUCAUCCUUGGGCCUCUGACCCCAAAGCAAGACUGGAGAAGGGGACAAAUUAAUCUAUACCAUUGGUCCUCCAGGAAGUAUCAAAGUGUCCAAAACAUUUGUCCCUGUAUAUUACAAGAAUUACACUGCAAUUAUUGAGUUCCCAUUUCUGCCAGCUACUCAACACACAUAAUUGUGUGCUUUCUCUGAUCAGGCAUUUUCUGCCUUUAAAUUUACUAUGUUGGUUAUGGUUGAAGCAUAGGUUUCACUUUAGCCUAAUUCUUUGACUUCACUCCUUUGUUUAUCCCCCUUUCUCAGUGUUGUACUGGCAGGGAUGUGUACACAGUAACCCAAAAAAUAAGUGCCUCAUCAAAAGAGGGAUAUUUCAACCACAUUUAGGUUUCAUAAAUGCUCCAUUUUAUCAAUUCUUAAUUACAGGCCAAAUAAAACCUCAGAAUCCAUGUCCAAAGUGUUGCAGAUAACAUGCAUCCCCUGACACCAUCUCUUUUUGGGUUGACUCUGCCUACAGAAAUAGAAUGUCAUUUUAUAAAAUAACAUCUGAAUUUCUAGAAAUACCAGUAGCAUUCGGGUGGCAGGGAGAGGCCAUGAUGCAAGUCUGCACUGUCAGGGUGUGGGUCUCAUACCUCCUGACUGUAAAGGACUGAGGAUCUGAAUGUUGGUGCUUGGACUUCAUGAAAGCAAAGGUUGAUGAGCAUUCACUCAUAUGGAGAGCAAUAUAUACUUUUGCAGGUUUUUAUCACAUCUGAACUCAAAAACUCUGUAGUUAUGCUUGUCCAAAAGGUUUAAAAAUAUCUGGUGAAGAAAAUCAUAUGCCUGACUCUCAGAGGUUGCAGCACUUGGCAGAGUAGCAACUCUUGUGUUGUCAAAACUUUCUGCUUGAAGAAGCCAGACAUCCACAGAGAGCGCACCCAGCAGCAAAGGCUGCCCUGUGGGGGAAGAAGGGAGGGGAGUUACUGGAGAAGAAACCCCCUGUUCCUGGCACAGGCAGGUGCUGGAGAUGCAGCAGGAGGAGUGUAUCCCAGUGCCAAACUAAAACUUGAACUGAGGUUUAUUCCAUGUUAUUCAGCAACUGCAUUUGAGUGCUGCCCAUAUGUAUGUUGCUUGGAUAGAGUGGGGUCACACUCAGGGGCCACGGAAAGAAGAGAGCUCAUCUGCCUCUGCAAUCCCUUUUUCCUCUGCUGUUCUGCUGCUGGGGGAAGGAUGGGGAGGCUGGACAAUGCCAAAGGGAUCUGUAGUUUGUUGGUCUUCUACUAAAUGGCAUACAAAAUGGAGCACAUCCUGACAUGGAUUUUCUUUUUUCUGUCCCGCGGUUUAUUUUCCUUCACCGACUGUUACAGCUAUGAAAUCAAUAGCUGAUGACAAGUGGGUUUAAUAUGUAGAGUAAGAGGAAUGUAAGUAGUAGUUAAAAAUUAACAGAUACAGGCUGAGAACAGGAUUUUUUUCAUUUCAGAAACCACCUGGGGCAAUUUGUUUUUCACUAAUAUAUACAAAGAUCUAGAAUGUACCAUGUUAUUAUCCUGAUGAUGAUGAUGAUGAUGAGUACAUGUACAAAUGUUCAUAUUUAGAGCAAAUCCAGUUAUGUCUGAAUGCCUUUCUGCUCUGUUUUAUGCAAUUAUUCUGUUUAGUCAUGAAUCACAGACCUUCUAAUUAAGGCUCAAGGUCAGGCAAAGGGGGAUGGAAGGUGAACAGACUUACAGCUAAAAACCUUUAAAGCCAUCGGUUGUUUACAGGAAUUCCCGUGCACUUUAACCAAAGAACAAAAUUGACAGAUCUAGUAUUAACAGACCAAAGUUAAUUCCUCUAAUUUCUCCUGCAUUCUUUCAGCCAGUUUCCUCUAACUGAGGAAUUAAAGGUCAUGCACCACCUACCUCCUGUGCUACCCCAGCCGUGCUUUACCAGCAUCAGCCCCAGGCUCCUCGGUGGGGGAAGUGACCAGAUGUAGCACAGUCAGUGUCUCCAAGAGCCAGCAGCUCUUUAGCACCUUGAUAUGUCCUUCAAAAUGACACAUUAUGUUUUGCUCUUUUCAUGUGACAGAUCUGAUACAGCGCACAAACAAAAAGGGAAUAUUGCUGGGAAAUUCUGUGUCUCUCUAUUAGGUUUCAUGUUUGAAUUCCCAGUGAAUUUCAAAUGUCUGCCACUGAGCUCCACCAUCUCUCGGAACUGGUGGCAUCCCACAAUUCCUGUGCCUAUUUAUUUCCUAGCCUUCUCUGCUAUGGCAGAUCUCUGAAGGAACCUUUUUGUCACAAUCCCUUGAUCCUUCCAGCUCAUGCAUUUUAGCAGAGCCCAGUCACAUGAUCCCUUUGCCCUAUUCUGCAACCUUCAGGAGCAGGACCUGCCUCUUUCAAUCCCAGGUAUUUGGGCAAGGAGCAACUUAAGCCACACCAUUGUUUUCUCCACUGUGAGGGCUAAGGACUUUACUCCACAAAAUCAGGAGCAGCCAGGCAACUAACCUCGUUCCAUCACAGUGGUGGGGCACGUAGGAAGAGAAAAGUAAUAGCCUGACAGAUGUUAGCAGGUGGGAUUCUCCAUCUGAAUUGCCCUAAGGGGCUUCAGCAACUUCUUCCUAGGUCACAUACAUCACCGUGUCCUGCUUAGUGAUGCAAGGUAAUCUUGGUAACCCAAUAAACAGUUCAUGUAGAGAAAUCCUCUGUUCCUAUUCUGUCACCUAGCACCAAGUCUCUCCUUUAAUGGAUCUCAUAAGCAGAAGUGAAGAUCAUUUCAGUGAGCAGGGGUGAAAUGUGCUACAUCCUGGCAUCUGCCUUGAAGCCAUGUUCUGCUGUAGGCACAGACUUCGGGCAUCAGGGCAUUCCCUGCUCCAUCCUUCCAGCCAGCCAGGGCUAUGAGCAUGGACAAGGAGCAAUGGAAUCUAAGCAGAAGUUCUCGUCUCUGUGUCUGCUGGAACACAGGGAUUUUGCCACAAGUAUCUUUGGGACGUCAGCUGAACAAAGGGCUAGGCAGAUGCCUCCUCUUUGCCCCUACCCAGUCCUUUUGAGUAACACUGGUAUAGGUAGGGAAGUAAGAUAAACAUCAGUGAUUUCAACCAAUUAUGACCUGUAGAGGAAAAGAGCAUAUAGGUAAACACAAGCUUUGGUUGUAGUGAGAAGGUGGAUAUGGAAAGGAAAUAGCGAGAAAAGUCUAGGUUUAGAAAUGCUAGGUCUCCCCUGUCCAAUGCCCUGGCAAUUUUCUCCUUUCUUUUUUUUUUCAGAAUACAUUUAUAUAACAAAAAAAGAAUAGAAUUUGUCUCAGCUGUGUUCCCUCUCUAGUCAUAUGCCUCGCCAUAUCUAAAUAAAGUGGCAGCUGACAUUUUAGGUGUUCUUAGCCACAGGGUUUCCAGAAAGCAAAACAUUUUUUUUUCCAUUUUGUGUGUGUUUGUGUGCUAGUGUCCCUUUUGGAAAAACUGUGAAGGCACUACAGAAACAAACAAAACUGAGCAAAACAAACUGAACUUGAGAAUAACAGACCCAUGGCUGAGGGCAGCCUGUUUCCAAAGGGGAAUAUGUGAUCAGGGGCUCAAUGGUUUAUUUGCUGAGAAAGCAACCUCCUCAGUGUCCCUGCUAUAUCUAGGUUUCAUGAUAAAUGCAGUGCCUUACACUGUCCCAGCUUUUCUUUGUGACUUUGCUUGUGGUUUAGCUCAGAUGAAUUAUUCUUUAGAAUGGAGGUGCUGCAUUUCUUCUUUCAAGUGAAACUGUCAUAAGGAGAGGCUUUUGUGCCAAAGAAAAGGGCUGGAGCAUUCUUUCCUUUUCACACAUCUUCCUCUCUCUGGGACCAGAGCCCGCUCUCUGAUAAGGGUGAUACCAUUGGCACAGCUGCACCCCAGCCAGAUGAGCACGACACUUCAGCUGGCACCUCACUCAACACUUUUGCUGUGCCCGCAGGUGGAUGUUUUUCUCUGGUGGGGAAGCAGAGAACAGUUCGCCCACCAGUGGAGCGUCAGCUCCUCCAGGCUGCGCGGGCCUCAGCCCACCAGACAGCUCCCAGCCCUGCUCACAGCAGUGUCCAAGAUGUCACUUCCAGUAAUUGCAGUGGGUUUCAGAGUGAACCCUGCACCAGAUCAAGAUGGCCUCUGGUGUUCUUUUGACUCUGAACUGACUCAGAGCUGCUACUUAUAAUGUUCCAAACACUUAAAUCAGUGCAGCUUUGGUCUUUGAAAAAUUUGGAAGAUACUCAAGAAUGAGAUAAUCUUUCAUUCCACAGGUUUUCUCAGGAAUCUUGAGAAAGAAUCUUGAGUGUAUUCCCUUGCACUAAAAAGAAAAAAAAAAAGGGUAUCAGUCUGUCUGUAGGAUUUCCUUUGCUAAGUGAAUCUACAUGUGGGGCUUUAUAUCUUUGUCACUGACAAAAUACUCUUAUUCAUCAAAAAAGGAAAAUCCAAAAGCAAAGAGUAUUUUAAAAGUGAUUAAUGGACCAUUCAUUUGAUGUAAUGCCAAAAUCUAGAUUUCUCAGAACAAAAUCUGGUGGCAAAAAUAAAUCUUG